RNAcentral lists this ribosomal RNA (286 nucleotides) under uncultured Rickettsia sp. RNAcentral's name for it is "partial 16S ribosomal RNA". It matches the Rfam family "Bacterial small subunit ribosomal RNA", at positions 31 to 331 of the family's 1533-position model. The record is from RNAcentral. Lineage: Bacteria; Pseudomonadati; Pseudomonadota; Alphaproteobacteria; Rickettsiales; Rickettsiaceae.
GAACGCUAUCGGUAUGCUUAACACAUGCAAGUCGAACGGACUAAUUGGGGCUUGCUCCAAUUAGUUAGUGGCAGACGGGUGAGUAACACGUGGGAAUCUGUCCAUCAGUACGGAAUAACUUUUAGAAAUAAAAGCUAAUACCGUAUAUUCUCUACGGAGGAAAGAUUUAUCGCUGAUGGGUGAGCCCGCGUCAGAUUAGGUAGUUGGUGAGGUAAUGGCUCACCAAGCCGACGAUCUGUAGCUGGUCUGAGAGGAUGAUCAGCCACACUGGGACUGAGACACGGCC